UACGUAGGGUGCAAGCGUUGUCCGGAAUUAUUGGGCGUAAAGCGCGCGCAGGUGGUUUCUUAAGUCUGAUGUGAAAGCCCACGGCUCAACCGUGGAGGGUCAUUGGAAACUGGGGAACUUGAGUGCAGAAGAGGAAAGUGGAAUUCCACGUGUAGCGGUGAAAUGCGUAGAGAUGUGGAGGAACACCAGUGGCGAAGGCGACUUUCUGGUCUGUAACUGACACUGAGGCGCGAAAGCGUGGGGAGCGAACAGG
RNAcentral lists this ribosomal RNA (253 nucleotides) under uncultured bacterium. Its description in RNAcentral is "partial 16S ribosomal RNA". It matches the Rfam family "Bacterial small subunit ribosomal RNA", at positions 524 to 776 of the family's 1533-position model. The record is from RNAcentral.